RNA transcript from Solanum verrucosum, 2714 nucleotides. It is a transcript of the gene named heterogeneous nuclear ribonucleoprotein Q-like, with no coding region annotated. The transcript has 12 exons. Lineage: Eukaryota; Viridiplantae; Streptophyta; Magnoliopsida; Solanales; Solanaceae. The record is from RefSeq and is a predicted model, not a curated record.
UGUUGAAACUAUGCCUCCAAAAUCAGUGAGAAAGACGCCUUCAGGUUCUGGAUCCAAAAGAGGUGGUCGUACACCUCGUGGCACGCCAAAGUCUCAGGCAAAGCCUGUUAAGGUAGAGGAACCAAUGGAAGUAGAUAAGGCGGUGGAGCUCAAACAAGAAAUGAAGGUGGAGGAGACAUCUGAAGAAAAGCCUGAGCUGAAAACCAUGCAAUCGGAGCCUGAGGAACCGGCUGAAACUGCAUUGAAUGUGAACGCUGUGGAGAAGGGGGCGGUUUCAGAGAAGAAGAAGGACGAUUUGAAAGAGUCAGUCAAUCACUAUGAAAAGGGCGAGCGAUUAGAUUUGGAGGAUAAUGACCCUGAAUAUGAACCUGAAGAGUAUGGCACAGUUGAUUAUGAUGAGACUGGGAUUGAACCUGAUGGUGUUCAGGAAGAGAGAAAUGAAAUAGAGGAAGAACCUGAAGAGGCAGAUGUUGGUGAAGAGGAAGAGGGUGAUAUGGGGGAAGAGGAUGUUGAAGAUGUUCAUGAGGAAAAUGAGGGUGAUGAAGAAGAUGAGCAUGCUGAGAUGGCUGAUGCAGCAGAGGAGGAAGAACAUCAUGAAGUUGUUGAAGAAAGGCGUAAGCGGAAGGAAUUUGAAAUAUUUGUUGGUGGCCUGGACAAGGAUGCUACCGAGGAGGAUCUCAGGAAGGUCUUCAGUAAAGUUGGCGAGAUUACUGAAGUGAGGCUUCUGAUGAAUUCUCAGACAAAGAAGAAUAAAGGAUUUGCAUUCCUGCGAUUUGCCACUGUUGAACAAGCAAAAAGAGCUUGUACUGAGCUGAAAAAUCCAGUGAUCAAUGGAAAACAAUGUGGUGUCUCUCCAAGUCAAGACAAUGAUACUCUGUUUUUGGGUAACAUAUGCAAGACCUGGACAAAAGAAGCUUUAAAAGAGAAGCUGAAGCAUUAUGGUGUUGACAAUAUAGAGGAUUUGACGUUGGUUGAAGACACUAAUAAUGAGGGAAUGAAUCGAGGAUUUGCUUUCUUGGAGUUCUCUUCACGUUCAGAGGCCAUGGAUGCUUUUAAGCGGUUACAGAAGAGAGAUGUUGUAUUUGGAGUUGAUAGGCCUGCAAAGGUUUCUUUUGAGGAUUCAUUCAUUGAUCCUGGGGAUGAAAUCAUGUCACAGGUUAAAACAGUGUUUAUUGAUGGUCUUGCUGUAUCCUGGAACGAGGACCAUGUGCGGGAACUUCUUAAAGAAUAUGGAAAGAUUAGAAAAGUUGAGCUUGCCAGAAAUAGGCCUUCAGCCAAGAGAAAGGACUUUGGAUUUGUCACCUUUGACACUCAUGAGGCUGCAGUUACAUGUGCUAAAAGCAUUAAUAAUGAGGAAUUGGGUGAAGGAGAUAACAAGGUUAAAGUAAGGGCCAGACUAUCGAGACCCCUGCAUAUGGGUAGAGGGAAAUACGGUGGACGAGGAGAGUUCCGACCUUGGCGUAUGCCUAUGCAUGGUUCCCAUUCCCCUUGGGGUCGUACAGCGCCAUAUAGUCGUUCUAUCCGAGGGACUAGAGUUAGUACGCGUAUGCCUCCCGUAGUUGGUCGUGGUUUCAAACGACCUGCAGCAUUGAGAGAUAGACAAGCAGAGAUGGCUUCGUCUCCUAGGGGAAGAUCCAUGGCUUCACCACCCAGGAGGUCAUAUGACCGGAGACCACCUGUUUCCUCAUAUCCAAAGAGUAGCUUCAAGAGGGAGUAUGGACGGCGUGAGGAAAUCUCUCCUUCUAGAAGCAGAGCAAUAGCUGAGUAUCCUUCGAGGGUUCAUUCUGACAGACGUAUAUCCUAUAGGGAUGAAUAUUCUUCGCGUGGCUCUGGUUACCCUGAAUUACCUAGAGGUACUCACUCUGCAGCAAGGAGAGGUUAUGUUGAUGAUGGAUAUGGGCAACGGUUUGAAAGACCCCCUCCAUCUUACCGUGAGGGACGUGGUCGUGAAUAUGAUUCUGUCUCUGGUUCGAAACGUCCAUACACUGCAGUGGAUGAUGUUCAUCCACACUACGCUGAGGCAGGAGUGCGGCAUUCGCGUGCUCGUUUGGAUUAUGAAUUAGGCAGUGGAAGUGGCUCCCAUUAUGGAGAUGCAUAUGGUGACAGUAGACUCGGGAGAUCAAAUCUUGGAUAUGGCGGCAACAGGAGCUCCAUUUCUAGGCAAGAUUCCCAUGGGAUAUACAGCAGUCGUCAGGGUAUGGGCUAUGGUGGAGGUUCCUAUGGUGGAAGUGAUGUAGGUGGAAUGUAUUCGUCUAGCUAUGGUGGUGACUACAUGUCUCGUGGCAGUGAUGUUGGCUCCUCGGUUUAUUCUAGUCAUGGUAUGGGUGGCAGUGGCUAUAUGGGAAGUGGUGGUUCUGGAUCUUACUACUAAGGUAUGUCACUUGUUAUUACUAACCAUGUGUGGUUUAUUUGGCAGUCAUGCUCUUAGGAACUGAGCAUCUUAUAUUCCCCUGUCCCCUGUUUAAAGAUUUGAGUUGACAAAAGCGCCUGCAGUUGGAUGAGUUAAUGUGGAAGCCCUAUGCACUGACAUGCCUCUUGGAGAGAUGGAGUUUAUGUAUUAGUACUUGUUUGUAUAUGUAGGGCUAGGGAAUUUAGCAUUAGAGGUUGCAUUGCUCUUGGAUUCUAAUUGGGAAAAGAGACACGUGUCCCCUCUUUUGAUGUAAGGAAAUUUGAGCUAUGUACAGCAAACUGAGAUCUGGUGUCAUUUUGCUAUA